Molecule: unclassified non-coding RNA, 22 nt
Filed under: Mus musculus (house mouse)
Lineage: Eukaryota; Metazoa; Chordata; Mammalia; Rodentia; Muridae
Description: oocyte_clustered_small_RNA149
Source: RNAcentral
UUUCUCUGGUGAUCUCUGGAGG